RNAcentral lists this transfer RNA (73 nucleotides) under Dermacentor andersoni. RNAcentral describes it as "transfer RNA valine (anticodon UAC)". Lineage: Eukaryota; Metazoa; Arthropoda; Arachnida; Ixodida; Ixodidae. The record is from RNAcentral.
AUUCCCGUGGUGUAGUGGUUAUCAUGUGCGCUUUACACGCGCAAGGCCCCCGGUUCGAUCCCGGGCGGGAACA